AUGGCGGAAGAGGAGUUAACUGAUAUCAUGGUAGACAUGGAGUAUGGAGAACUGAUGAAAGACUGGAUAGAAUAUCGGUCAGAUGAUGAAAAUUCAGAUUGUGAAGAUCGGUCAGAGAAUGGGAACGAAUGGGAUGAUCUUAAUAUCAAUGAGCUUGAUGAUGAUCAGGAAAACAACUCGGAGCUCUCGAAUGAAGAUUACAUUAGUCAGUUCAUUUCCGAAUGUCAUAAUGCGUACGACUAUUACAGUGAAUCCGACGCGGCGACAUGCCUUAACGAUGAAUCAUUAGAUGCACCUGGUUCUGGGGAGUCCGAGUCGUUGGUCAUCAUGAGUGAAGUGACACAAGAUGAUGGUGCAAAGAAUGUCCAAGAUACUGCCAGUGCAGAUGAUAAGAGGGAUAUGUUCAUGCAGAUAAUGGAAAUGACCUUUACGUCUCACGAUGCUGCGUAUGAUUUCUACAACAGCUAUGCUAGAGAUAAUGGUUUCAGCAUUAGAAAGAAUAAGGUCAAGUAUAGCAAAACAGAGUCACGUCAUAUGCGUUAUAGGCGGUUUGUUUGUUCAAGACAAGGGAAACGUGACAACAAGUUGCUAACCGAGGAAGGACACAGCCGACCGGACGAGGUACCUUUUCUUUGGUCCCACAGAAAAAUCAAAGAGUACCAGAAGCAUGAGAUAAUGUCCAUGGGAGCUGCAGGGAUUAGAAUUCACGACAUGAUGGAUUGCUUCAUCAGCAAGCAUGUAUGGUACGGCUGUGUUGGUUUUACCAGGCAUGAAAUAUACAACCUUUGCGCCAAGGAUAAGAGGAAGCUGCUUUCAAAAGGUGAUGCUGCCACAGCCAUAGGCAUCAUGGCCAGUAGGAAACAGAGGGAUCCUAGCUUCUUUUUCGAGUAUAGGCUAGAUAAGGAAGGACAUUUGAAUAGGAUGUUCUGGUGCGACUCCCAGUCUCGUCAUGACUAUGAGGACUUCGGCGACGUGCUUGUAUUUGACAGCACGUACAAGAUGAACCGCUAUGGUAUGCCAUUCAUACCUUUUGUUGGUCUUAACAAUCACCGGAAGACCACUGUUUUUGGUUGUGCCAUAGUUUCAGACGAGACCGAGGAGACAUACGUGUGGCUUCUGCAGACGUUUUUGAGGUCCAUGUGUCAAAAGAUUCCUAAGAGUGUUAUCACAGACGCCGACGCUGCGAUGAUCAAGGCAAUUCGCGAAGUCUUGCCAGACGUGUGGCACAGUAUAUGUACGUGGCACAUAGAGAAAAAUAUGAAGAUUCACCUUAGUCACAAGUCCUUGAAGGAGUUCCGAACUCUUCUGUAG
This 1311-nucleotide ribosomal RNA is filed under the name Triticum aestivum (bread wheat). RNAcentral describes it as "partial small subunit ribosomal RNA". The record is from RNAcentral. Lineage: Eukaryota; Viridiplantae; Streptophyta; Magnoliopsida; Poales; Poaceae.